RNAcentral lists this long non-coding RNA (3380 nucleotides) under Lotus japonicus. RNAcentral describes it as "long non-coding RNA (LJAP_LNC001815)". Lineage: Eukaryota; Viridiplantae; Streptophyta; Magnoliopsida; Fabales; Fabaceae. The record is from RNAcentral.
UCGAAAUAAAGACUCAACCCAAUCGCGAUUAACAGCGACUAACAUACAAUAAAAGCAAAGCCCUCGCUGCAACCCAAAAUCAUCGUCACGAGUGUCCUCAAGUGACGGAAAGUAACAUCAAGUAACUGAAAGUGGUGCCCGCAGGCAAACAAGUGCGACCCAUAGCCAGAGUCAUAAGUUUUAUAAAUACAGUCCUCCAAGAAAGUAAGUCAGCCCAAAACGGCCUCCAAAGGACCUCCUACGUGACCUCCUACGUCCGACAAACUCCCUGUGAUCCUCAUGGAAGAGAACCACACAAAAAGCUAAUAGUCGGGGACCUACUGUAAGACCCAGGGUUUUAGAAUUAAAUAAGUAAAUAAUUUCCAACUCACGCACAGCGCACAGGAUUAUGUGUAAACGUGAGAGGAACUCGACUUAUGUUUAAUGGUUGGAUUAAUAUUAUGAAGAAGAAAGUUCAGGAUAUGGUUAAGAAUAGUUAUAUAGUCGCUAUAGGUUAUAGCACGAGUUUCAUUCAAUUCCGCCUUAGGGCGAAAACGUUAGUAAACGACUAAUUUGCACUUAAAGACACGAUGGAAACUAAUUCCAAAAAUCUUCAGAGAAAUGUUAGAACUUCUCUUAAUCCUUCCAUGAUAAGCAUUUCGAUACGAAACCCUGGAAUGUAAGAACGUCCGAUUCUAAUUCUCGGAGGUUCGCCGAAACUAAAACCCUGAUAGCUCAAGAAACCUAAAAUAAACGAUUGAUGAAGACUUUUUCUAUUCGGAGCUUCAAACGAAGAUUCCACACGCGUACACUCAUUUCUUUCGAUGUUUCCAAUCUUUCUUCAGAAGGAAGUUUCUGCAUCUGACAUUCGCUGCAAAAAGUAGUUUUUCGGGUAAAAUAGAUUUACACCGACUUUGGAUCGUUUGCUUUAAUUCCAAGAAACCUCUUUUGAAUUUUGGAAUUCUGUCGCCAGAACCUAUCUUAGAAUUCACAGAGGAUGGCACAGGAGAAAUCGGAAUCGCGAAAUUUUCAUUUUUCCGCAUUUUCCAAAACCUAUAAAUAGCUUGAAAAAUGAAAAAAAAAAUCAAAAACAUCAAAAAACACACACACACGGCCGUGAGCAAGGAGGAGGAGAGGAGGAGAAGUGAUUUUUGCCGAUUCUUGCCUGAUCGUCCCACAGUUCGUUGCUACGCGUAGGCCUCGAGGUACUGAUGCUUUUCCUUACCUCUGAUCGUAAAUUCUGUCGCUUUUCUCUAUGUCUUUCUGUGCUCAAAGUUUUGAGUUUUUUGUAAAACUGUCCAAAUAACUUGAUUUCUCUGUCUAAACUUAUUCCCUGCGUGCCCCUGAGCAUGUUUAGCGGAUUACAUUUUGCCGAAUGUCCGAAAGGCCGCCGAGUCUCGAUUCUGCUCAAAAUACCCAUUUUGGGCUAAAGUUCCGUUCUUUGGGCUUAAAACUCUCAACUGAGCUUAGCGUUAGUAGGAUUAGUCGUCAUAAUCGUCGUUGGUGUCGACCCCAUCUAAUUUUUUUUUCGAAAUUCUGAUUUUGAGUUUCCGAGCUAAAAAUAUUGACCAAAAUACCCCUGCGACAGUUUUCGAACCGAUAAUUUUUCUGAGAGUUUCCCUGGCCUAGAUAUCGCCUAAGAAUACCUAGGAAUCGAUUUAGAUCGAAGAAAAAGUUCGGAAACCCUAUUUUUGAGAGUGGCCGAAACCUAUUUGGUAGGGUACCGUGUCCAAAAAUAAUUUUUGGGUCUCUAUGACCUGAGCUAUUGCGUAGCUCUUUCAAUUUUCGAAAUUUUGGCGUUGGUUUCGUGUCAUUCCGAGUUCUGUAGCUCGAAUUAUGCUCGUUUUAGCGAACGAAGUCUCGGUUGUCAAUUUGUGUUUAAGUAGGAACUCUGAAGCUUUAAAAGCUUUCUUUACGAUUUCGAUUAGUAUUAUUAGAUAGUGUUGUUUCUAGUGAAGCUUGUGUUGAUGAUUGUGUUUCCUUGUUCUAGGUUCACAACUUCCAUGCACAACUUCUACUCACGAAGGUAAGGGUAACUCAGUUUUAGAGUGUCCUUGAGUCUUGCCUGCUUUUAUCGCACUGCCUGUGUUUGAGAUGAAGAUGUUUAUAUUGAUUGACAGAUGAUUAUGAUUAUUAUGCUUGCUUAUGUUGACUGUUUCUGAGGCUUGUGCCAAAUGUUUUCUGAAGGCUUCGGCCGAGUGAACUUAUUGAGACGUGUGUCUCCGUUUUCUGAGAGGCUUCGGCCGUUUACUGGUUUCUGUCAUUGAACUGAGUUGGUAUGCAAUUGAAUUGAGUUAUGUUCGUUGAUAAUAGGAAUAACAUGUGGUUACUCCGAAUAAAUCAUUGGUUUGGGCAUUGUUGUUGAUUGACUUGGCAUAUAGGGCUUGGUCUUUAAGUGGCGAUGAGGUGGGGUGUGGUCCCGCGUGAUUGUCCCGUCUUUCAAGACGUUAUAAAGUGGCGAUGAGGUGGGGUGUGGUCCCGCGUGAUUGUCCCGUCUUUCGAGACGUUAUAAAGUGGCGAUGAGGUGGGGUGUGGUCCCGCGUGAUUGUCCCAUCUUGUGAGAUGUUCUAAAGUGGCGAUGAGGUGGGGUGUGGUCCCGCGUGAUUGUCCCGUCUUGCGAGACGUUAUUGAUCGAUCCAUUUUGGUAGCAGCAUAUAGUUGCAUUAUAGGGAACUAACACCUGACCCUAUGUUGUUGGAUUUUAGUUAUUGGUUUAUUGAUAUCUGAUUUGAUGUUACAUUGUUGAGGUUAUUAUUAUCUGAGUUAAUCUAUGUUAAGUCGUUGAUAUAUGAGUUGAGUUAUGUUGCUAGUUUAUUUACCAUGCUAGGUAAUUAAAUUUGAAUAGCAUGAUUUUCUCUUUUAUACAUGGUAAUUGCAUGGAGUUAACCCUUUCUAUUUGUUAUUUGUUGUUUGGGCGCUUAACGCUAUUAGGCGAUGAAGAGCCUUCUGGCGAUGCUUAGCCAUGCUGAGAUGGAGGAGGGAUAGUAACCGGCGGAGCGAGGAUGGAAGAAGUUGUAUAGUUUUCUCUUAGUAGUUUAUGCUUUGAGUCUUCUUCAUUAUCCGAAAACUCUGUUACUAAAACCCUGUUUUCACCACUAUUUAAGUGUGCGUACUUAUUUUGGAAACUUGCUUAUGCUAUUGUAAGACACUAUUAGUAUAUGUCGGGAACGGAUUGUUUAAUUAAGACUAUGUUAUGUAUUAAACUGUGUUUAGUUGUUUUGAAAAGAAGAAAAAAAUUAUUAUGGUUUCUUAGGAUUACGAAAUAGUCCUUAGACUUUGUUAGGUUACUAAUGUGACUCCUCAGUUGAGAAAUUGGGGCGUUACACCUACCCUGCCCCAAAAUAAGAAAUGAAAAUCAGAGCUAUGACACUAACACCCAACCUUAGUAGGCUCUAAACACC